This 245-nucleotide unclassified non-coding RNA is filed under the name Hevea brasiliensis (rubber tree). The record is from RNAcentral. Lineage: Eukaryota; Viridiplantae; Streptophyta; Magnoliopsida; Malpighiales; Euphorbiaceae.
GGGAAAGUGAGUGGGAGAGACAGCACAUGUGUUUGAUUGAGACAAAGCAUCCAUAUGGUUGUAGUGUUGUUGUAGAGCUUGUAGAACUCUUGCUGGUAUUAGAACCGUUGAACUUCCAGAUUUCUUCUUUUUUGGUUCUGUUGUUGGUGUAGGAAGAGGAUUUGGAUUGUUAAUUGUGCGAGGCAAAAAAACUCCAGUUCCAGAUGACCCGUUUUUCGACCCGGAUCCACCGAGAAAUAUGGCCG